ACGGAAUAGAUACCCCGGUAGUCCACGCCCUAAACGAUGUCUACUAGUUGUUGGGAGAGUAAAAUCUCUUAGUAAACGCAGCUAAACGCGUGAAGUAGACCGCCUGGGGAGUACGGUCGCAAGAUUAAAACUCAAAGGAAUUGACGGGGGCCCGCACAAGCGGUGGAUUAUGUGGAUUAAUUCGAUGCAACGCGAAAACCUUACCUGGCCUUGACAUGCUACUAACGAAGCAGAGAUGCAUUAGGUGCCCGAAAGGGAAAGUAGACACAGGUGCUGCAUGGCUGUCGUCAGCUCGUGUCGUG
Molecule: ribosomal RNA, 302 nt
Filed under: uncultured bacterium
Lineage: Bacteria
Description: bacterial SSU rRNA
Rfam family: Bacterial small subunit ribosomal RNA
Source: RNAcentral